UUCAUACUCCCUCCGUCCAACAAAAGAUGUCUCAAGUUUGUCAAAAUUUUGGAUGUAUCUAGACAUGACUUAGUGUAUAGAUGCAUUCAAAUUUAGUCAAAGCUAAGUCAUCAUUUGUUGGACGGAGGAAGUAGAUG
Brachypodium distachyon (stiff brome) is the source of this 137-nucleotide non-coding RNA. The record is from Rfam. NCBI's taxonomy places the organism in Eukaryota, Viridiplantae, Streptophyta, Magnoliopsida, Poales, Poaceae.